Molecule: ribosomal RNA, 406 nt
Filed under: uncultured bacterium
Lineage: Bacteria
Description: partial 16S ribosomal RNA
Rfam family: Bacterial small subunit ribosomal RNA
Source: RNAcentral
AUUGAACGCUGGCGGCAGGCCUAACACAUGCAAGUCGAACGAGUGGCGGACGGGUGAGUAAUGUCUGGGAACCUGCCCGAUGGAGGGGGAUAACUACUGGAAACGGUAGCUAAUACCGCAUACCAUCAGAUGUGCCCAUAUGGGAUUAGCUUGUUGGUGGGGUAACGGCUCACCAAGGCAACGAUCCCUAGCUGGUUUGAGAGGAUGACCAGCCACACUGGGACUGAGACACGGUCCAGACUCCUACGGGAGGCAGCAGUGGGGAAUUUUGGACAAUGGGGGAAACCCUGAUGCAGCCAUGCCGCGUGUAUGAAGAAGGCCUUCGGGUUGUAAAGUACUUUUAGCGGGGAGGCGUUACCCGCAGAAGAAGCACCGGCUAACUACGUGCCAGCAGCCGCGGUAAUUC